RNAcentral lists this ribosomal RNA (445 nucleotides) under uncultured bacterium. RNAcentral describes it as "bacterial SSU rRNA". It matches the Rfam family "Bacterial small subunit ribosomal RNA", at positions 30 to 506 of the family's 1533-position model. The record is from RNAcentral.
UUGAACGCUGGCGGCAUGCUUUACACAUGCAAGUCGAACGGCAGCGGGGGCUUCGGCCUGCCGGCGAGCGGCGGACGGCUGAGUAACGCGUGGGAACGUACCCCAAAGUGAGGAAUAACUGCCCGAAAGGGUGGCUAAUGCCGCAUAUGGUCUUCGGAUUAAAGGAUUUAUCCGCUUUGGGAACGGCCUGCGUACGAUUAGAUAGUUGGUGGGGUAAAGGCCUACCAAGUCUACGAUCGUUAACUGGUCUGAGAGGAUGAUCCGUCAGACUGGAACUGAGAUACGCUCCAGACUCCUACGGGAGGCAGCAGUGAGGAAUCUUCCACAAUGGACGAAAGUCUGAUGGAGCAACGCCGCGUGCAGGAUGAAGGCCUUCGGGUCGUAAACUGCUUUUAUAAGUGAAGAAUAUGACGGUAGCUUAUGCAUAAGCACCGGCUAACUACGU